GUGAUCUCCAAGUUCUGAGACUGACAUGGUGGCAACUGGUGGGGUGAUGUCUUCACCUCAAGGCGCCCCAACUGUAUACUCAACAACACCCUUGGCAGAAUCAGUAUUGAUCUCUUCUGGGAUGAUGUGUGACAUGUGAAAUGUUAAUGCUUCUGGACAGCUUUGGAUACACAAAACUAGUACGUGUGUCAAUUGCCGCUGUAUUCACACCAGCCGCCAUGGGAUCACACGCUGUGCAGAAGCGCCAAGCCGAAAACAUCGAUGUUGAUCCUCAACAACCAGCAUCUUGAUUGGUUUUCGAAUCUGCCUGUGUCAUGGUGGAGCACCGUUCUGGGCAUGUCCAGGUGAGUUAUGGAGGGAUGGCUUUGGGUGGUAUAUAGGGUCCCUGUACCCAUUCCUGGCUGAUACUGUUCCCUUGCUCUGCUUCCCAGCAGCCAUGAACUAAGCAGCUUGCUCCACUAUGCCCUCCCACCAUGAAGUUCGACCUUGGAACCAGCUGACUGGAUGUGCUGAAACCGUGACCCAAAUUAACCCUCUGCUCUAUGGUGUGGGUGCUGGGUAUUGUGUCCAGCAAUGGGAAAGCUGAUUGGUACAGGGGUUAAGGACGAUACACAAUCAUGUGAGUGUGCAGUGUUUUAUGAAGUGUCAGUAACAAAGUUUUCUUCCUCACAGUGUCUUCCUUAUGGUAUUGGGGGUCUUCCACCUGUCUUCUAAGGGUGAUUCAUUCUUUUAUAUAGACAGGAGAGAGGGAAAAAAAAAACCUGCCCCUUAAAAUCAUAACUGAACAUAAAAUUUA
RNAcentral lists this long non-coding RNA (796 nucleotides) under Chinchilla lanigera (long-tailed chinchilla). RNAcentral describes it as "lncRNA (ENSCLAG00000023811.1)". Lineage: Eukaryota; Metazoa; Chordata; Mammalia; Rodentia; Chinchillidae. The record is from RNAcentral.